RNAcentral lists this long non-coding RNA (1039 nucleotides) under Cyanistes caeruleus (blue tit). RNAcentral describes it as "lncRNA (ENSCCEG00000012172.1)". Lineage: Eukaryota; Metazoa; Chordata; Aves; Passeriformes; Paridae. The record is from RNAcentral.
GCAUGACAGCUUGGAUUUUUGAAGAAGGCUGCUGAAGGGCUGAGCUUUUCCUGUUCUCUUUAGAAGGUGAGCUGAACUGCAUUUAGAAGCCUUUAUGUGAUGUUUUAUUAAUCCCAUGAGUCUACUUGCACAAUAUUUAUGUCCUUUGGCUUCGUGACACUUUUAUGGUGACCACACAAGGGACCAUGUUGCUACACACUAGUCAUUUCAGGGUUUGUUCUGCCAGAGAUAUCCCAAGGUUUGUAUUACAUUGCUUUAAGAAUGGCUUUUGGGACACAUGAAACACCUUUUCUUGCAAUCAGUCACACCUUUCAUGUGUGCCUUUACAAAGCUAAUCAGCAGCUGCAUUUGUUUCUUCUCUCCAAAACACCCUUCUCCAUCUUGACCUAGGUGUUCCUUGCAUGAAUAUUCAUAAAUUUGAUAUUAAUUAAGUGUGAGAGAUGUACUCUCUUCUAUUAUCUGAGGUUCUGUCUUCUCUUCAUGUCUGCAGCAUGCUGACUUUAUAAUCUUCCCCCUCAAAGAAGUGAAAGGAUAAAUGAGUAAAUACAGACACUCGUGUAAAAGCUGGUGCCACAUGUUGCCUGGAGACUAAUAGCUGUCAGAGCUAAAAUAGCCAACCUGCUCUGGAGACGAGUGAUUAACAAAUAGGGACCUCAGGAAUAGGAAAAAGCACCAAGGGGAGGAGAUUAACUGAGCUCACAAGAGGAGCACAGGUUAAAUACUUAGUGAGGUGCAGGCUGAAGUCCCUGCAGUAAUCAUUGUUUUUAUUUAUUGCUGCUUAUUUUUGCUAUUUAUUGCUAUGCUGAUGAAAGAGUUUCUUUCCUUUCAAUUUUCUGUAUAAAUUGUGACAGCUUUGGAGGUUUUGGAUGCUCCUGAAGAUGUGCAUCAACAUCUGUCAUGCUUUUUCUGAAGGAGAGUGCUCAGAAAUAGAAAGCUUACUGAAGACAGUUAAUUCUAGUCCUGCCAGAGGAUCUUGGGACAGCAAUAUCAAAUAUUAGAGCAGCAGAUUUGAAAUAAACCUAAAACUUCAUUGGGAGCA